GGGGUUGUAGCUCAGCGGUAGAGCACUCACCUGGAACGUGCAAGGCUCUGAGUUCAAUCCUCAGCACCACA
This 71-nucleotide transfer RNA is filed under the name Marmota monax (woodchuck). RNAcentral describes it as "tRNA.Ser". It matches the Rfam family "tRNA". From Rfam's summary of the family: Transfer RNA (tRNA) molecules are approximately 80 nucleotides in length. Their secondary structure includes four short double-helical elements and three loops (D, anti-codon, and T loops). Further hydrogen bonds mediate the characteristic L-shaped molecular structure. tRNAs have two regions of fundamental functional importance: the anti-codon, which is responsible for specific mRNA codon recognition, and the 3' end, to which the tRNAs corresponding amino acid is attached (by aminoacyl-tRNA synthetases). tRNAs cope with the degeneracy of the genetic code in two manners: having more than one tRNA (with a specific anti-codon) for a particular amino acid; and 'wobble' base-pairing, i.e. permitting non-standard base-pairing at the 3rd anti-codon position. Lineage: Eukaryota; Metazoa; Chordata; Mammalia; Rodentia; Sciuridae. The record is from RNAcentral.